RNAcentral lists this long non-coding RNA (1600 nucleotides) under Canis lupus familiaris (dog). RNAcentral's name for it is "lncRNA (ENSCAFG00040016281.1)". Lineage: Eukaryota; Metazoa; Chordata; Mammalia; Carnivora; Canidae. The record is from RNAcentral.
GGCAUGAGGGUGCGGAAGAGGCUCUGCUCCUGGUCAGUUUAUCAUGAAUGGGAUUCCUGGAUCCAGCCCUGGGAAUGCAGUCAGAGCCAUUUGAGAUAGAACUGGGAACAGGAAGCCCACUGUCUCAGAGGACUGGAUCAACAAUGGUGCUCCCCAAGUACCUGAAGGCUGCAGGAUCUCAGGGCAGUGAGGGAGAGGAAGGAAAGAACCAACGCCCUUUGUGCUCCAGGCCUGGGAUCAGGUAUUGUCACAUAUUGUCUUUUCUUUUCAUCUCCUCACUAGGGGAAGUGGGUAAAACUGCCCCAUUUCUAGGGAGAUGAAAUUGAAGCUAAGAGAGAUCAAAGAGACUCACCUAAGGUCACUCAGUGGAUAAGAGGCCUAAAUGAUCCUUCAUACCAGUCUUCUAAUUCUCUAUGAUAACUCUUCCUAAUGUUGUACACCUACAGUCUAUGCGAAAGCCAGGAUUUCUGGGAAGCACCACUGGUUUAUAAAGCAAUGAUGAAUAGUAUGUGCUUGGAGGGGCUCACACACACAUAGUGGGUCAUUGUGCCUUGUCUCCUUCUAUGCACUCUGGAUCUAGAUUCUAUCAGAAAUUUUCAUGGAAAGUCAGAUGAAUCCCAGACCUAAUUGGCAGCCUCCAUGCCUAUGGGCAUGGACAGGUGUGAGCAUAAUCAGACACAAACACACACACCUACCAAGGAAUCUUGGAACUGGAAGAAAAUUUGUAGGUCAUCUAAUGCAAAUCCCUGACUCAUGAACUAAAAUUCCAGGAAUGAAACUAGCUAGUUUUCUAGUCUAUGCUUGGAGAUUUAUGGACUAAGAGUUUUUACAAAAGGAGAAACUAUUAUAAGAAAUAGUAACAAGAGAUGUGUGGCCCCAACAACACACAGGCUUAUGUUGUAAGCACUCAGAUUAUGUGGUGGUAGUGGUCAUGAUGGAGAUGAUGUGCUGUCAGUAAUAGUGGUGGCAGUGAUGGUGGUUGUGAUGCACGUGGUGGCAGUGCUGAUGACUGUAGUGGCAGAGGAGGUGGCAGUAAUAGCUUUGGUGGCAUUGAUGGUGGCAGUGGAAGUGGUAGCAGUAAGGGUGGUGGUUGAAGCAAUGUUGGCUGAAGCAGUGAUGGUGCCCAGUGAUGGAGGAAUUGGUGGAAUGUGGUUGAAGCUGAAGGUGGUGGCGGAGGAGAGGUGGAGGUGAUAGGGUGGUGGUGGCGGUAGCGAUGGCGGUUACAAAUGGAGGGAAAGUGUCUCUAGAGGAAAAGGCAGGGAUACAGGUGGAAGUGCUAGUGGUAGUGGUCUUGGAGGGGACAGUGUUCUGCCCUCUAAGAUUUAGGGUAAGUUGAGCUCCCCAAAGCCUGAGGAGCGAGUGCACAGAGGGGGAGCUGCGGACCCAGCAUUGGUAGAGGGCCAGCUCCUUCCCAGGACACCAAACAACUGCCUCAAGUGCCUCCAUGUGGCUCAUUGCUGUGAGGAGAAUGAAAAUUCCACAGCUCUCACCUGGCCUGUCCAACUCAGGGUGCUAUCUAUCUGGCUCUGGUGGCUGCUCAGACUUGAACCUGCCUGGAUGUAACCAGUGUCCUCCAUUCCCAGGCAGCCAGACACGGGGC